GAUGAGCGCUGGCGGCGUGCCUAAUACAUGCAAGUCGAGCGAACAGACGAGGAGCUUGCUCCUCUGACGUUAGCGGCGGACGGGUGAGUAACACGUGGAUAACCUACCUAUAAGACUGGGAUAACUUCGGGAAACCGGAGCUAAUACCGGAUAAUAUAUUGAACCGCAUGGUUCAAUAGUGAAAGACGGUUUUGCUGUCACUUAUAGAUGGGUCCGCGCCGCAUUAGCUAGUUGGUAAGGUAACGGCUUACCAAGGCGACGAUGCGUAGCCGACCUGAGAGGGUGAUCGGCCACACUGGAACUGAGACACGGUCCAGACUCCUACGGGAGGCAGCAGUAGGGAAUCUUCCGCAAUGGGCGAAAGCCUGACGGAGCAACGCCGCGUGAGUGAUGAAGGUCUUCGGAUCGUAAAACUCCGUUAUUAGGGAAGAACAAAUGUGUAAGUAACUAUGCACGUCUUGACGGUACCUAAUCAGAAAGCCACGGCUAACUACGUG
Molecule: ribosomal RNA, 497 nt
Filed under: uncultured bacterium
Lineage: Bacteria
Description: partial 16S ribosomal RNA
Rfam family: Bacterial small subunit ribosomal RNA
Source: RNAcentral